AAGCUUUUUUCUACUUUCAAAAUUAUUUAUUUACUUUUUAAACUUUUGUUAAAAACAAAGACACACACACACACAUCUUAUAUUAACACAAAAGCGAAGGCAACAAUAUAAUUCUUUUAGCUAAUCUAUUUUUCUCCCUUUGGCUCUUCGAGGUUACAAAACCAGAGCCUGGGAAAAUGGGAUUGUACUAAAACUCCCACAGAAAGAUGUCUAGAAGUCUUGUUGCUUCAGAUGCAGCAAAACAACAUCUGAUUGGCAAAGGGCCACUUUGGUUUUUCUCCUGCUUGGCUAGCAUCCUAAACUUAGUUUUCACAGUGUUCUGUCCCUAUUUAACACUGUGUAGUGGAAAGGCAAAAUAGUGAGGUGGUAAAGAACAUGGACUGUGGAUUCUGACUGCCUGGGUUGGAAUUCUCAUUCUGUCACACACUGGUCAUGUGAUCUUACCCUCCGUCUCUGUUUCCUCACUUACAAAAUGAGGAGAAUCAUAAGACCUGCCUCACAGGAUUGGUAUGUGGAUUAAGCGAAUUAGUAUAUGUAAAGUGCUUAGAACAAUGCUUAGCACAUAGUAAAUAGUAUUGCAUAAACACACACAAACACACAAUGCAGUAAUUUCUCACAUUUUGCGUAAUCAAACUGGGAUAAUGACUUUAUGAUUCCCUUAUAUAACUAUAAAGAAAUAUUUCAUUAUCUGAAUUAGCUUAUUCAUUGAGGACUAUUAAAAUGUAAGGGAUAAACUGGAUAUCUAACAUACAUGUGAACUUUCUACUUCUUCCACUUAUGUCUAUUAAGUGUAUUUGCACUUGAUAGAUAUUUUACAAUGUGGGUAUAAAAAUCCACAGGUAGCAUAAAAGUAAAGGGGAAUGAUAAUGGUCUUUCUUGUUUUCUAGUAACAGCUUCCCCCCGCAGUAGUGUUCUUUUUUUUUUUGGAACACAUAUUGGCAAUGGGAAUAUAAAGACCUGAAGGAGGCUCUCUGCCUAGCUUCAAGGAACCACAGGAUACUUAGGGAAUUAAAGAAUGAUAAAAGGAAGAAUAUCACGAGACACCUGGGAGUCUCGUUCUUUAUCAUUUGCUCUUGACACAUGAAUUUCCAAAACACGUGUCAUUUCUUAACCAGGACAGAACUGUAAUAAUUUGUUCUAGUUCUCACAUGCAUUCUUUAUGAUGAGAAAUCUGAAGUCAUCCUCACCUUUGUUCCUGUAUAUGUAACAAGGCUUUCUUCUCUGGUUCCUAGGAUCUUCUCUUUAUCAUUAGUUUGGGGAAAUUUGAUUUGUGCCUUGCUAUAAUUUUCUUCAUGUUGCUUGUGCCUGGGUUUGUUGAAUUUCUUGGAUCUGAGGUUGUCACAACAUAUUGCUUUCUUCACAGAGAGAUAACCCUGUAGAUGAAGUGAUAAAAGUUCUGAAUGAUACUACAAAAUGGUUGG
This 1421-nucleotide long non-coding RNA is filed under the name Homo sapiens (human). RNAcentral's name for it is "HSALNT0074875". The record is from RNAcentral. Lineage: Eukaryota; Metazoa; Chordata; Mammalia; Primates; Hominidae.